GCCAUGGACGAGUUCUACCGGUAUGCGAAUUGCAAAGGAUCAAGGCAAUCUGAUGCUGCCAGGUGUGCAGUUUCUCCAGCACUUUGUUAUCAAGAAAGGUCAUCUCGCCUGUACAUUAACUUUGUUUCUCACCAUAUGUGCUGCCUGACCUGCUUCAGAUUUUUAAAAAACUUUUUGUAAAGCUUUUCAGAUAAAUUGAUAAAAUGUUUGCAAAGAACUGUGACAUGUUAGAGAUUAAAUAAACUACUGAAGAUGAUUAUAA
Long non-coding RNA from Rhincodon typus (whale shark), 262 nucleotides. RefSeq lists it as uncharacterized. Lineage: Eukaryota; Metazoa; Chordata; Chondrichthyes; Orectolobiformes; Rhincodontidae. The transcript is spliced from 2 exons. The record is from RefSeq and is a predicted model, not a curated record.